CGCAUAACAUUAUGAAAUAGCAUUAUUUUAUAAUCAAAUAUUUAUAGGACAAGGAUGGGCAUGCGGAACAUUAGCUAGUUGGUGUGGUAACGGCAUACCAAGGCUACGAUGUUUAGGGGACCUGAGAGGAUGACCCCCCACACUGGUACUGAGACACGGACCAGACUCCUACGGGAGGCAGCAGUAAGGAAUAUUGGUCAAUGGGCGGAAGCCUGAACCAGCCAUGCCGCGUGCAGGAAGACGGCCCUACGGGUUGUAAACUGCUUUUGCAGGGGAAUAAACCUCGAUAUGUAUAUCGAGCUGAAUGUACUCUGAGAAUAAGGAUCGGCUAACUCCGUGCCAGCAGCCGCGGUAAUACGGAGGAUCCAAGCGUUAUCCGGAUUUAUUGGGUUUAAAGGGUGCGUAGGUGGUUUUUUAAGUCAGGGGUGAAAGACGGCAGCUUAACUGUCGCAG
RNAcentral lists this ribosomal RNA (453 nucleotides) under uncultured bacterium. Its description in RNAcentral is "bacterial SSU rRNA". It matches the Rfam family "Bacterial small subunit ribosomal RNA", at positions 170 to 621 of the family's 1533-position model. The record is from RNAcentral.